AUGGACAACUCUUCAGAUGCUCACAGCCGUCACAGUUGCGCGGCGUGCUACCGUCAGUUCAACCGGAUGGAGCACCUGGUGGAGCACAUGCGGUCGUCGCACCACUCCCACCACGAGCCCCGCUGCGGCGUCUGCGGCAAGCACUGCCGCUCCCUCGACGCCCUCCGCGACCACCUCGGCUUCGGCGCCUCCCUGCCCUCCAAGCCCGCCUGCGCCGCCACCUUCCAAGCCCACGGCUGCCCGCUCUGCCUCGCCGUCUUCCCCACCUCCGCCGCCCUUCGCGCCCACCGCCCAGCAUGCAAGCUCUCCGGCGCCCCCCAUCCUUCCUCGGUGCAGAGCCUCACGAGGACUAUGUCGAGGGUGGGCGCGCGAGGCGGCCGCGGCGCGGUGGCGCUGGGGUGCAAGAUGGUGGGCGGCGGGAGCGACGGCACGCUGGACGUGUGCGCGCGCGUCUGCGUCGUCGACGAGCACGAGGCCAUCCUCUACGAGAGCUUCGUGAAGCCCCUCAUCCCGGUCACGCACUACCGGUACGAGACCACGGGCAUCCGGCCCGAGCACCUGCGCGACGCGCCGACGGUGAAGCAGGCGAUGAGGCGGGUCCAGGACAUCCUCCUCAACGGCGAGCAAUCUUAUUACUCCUCCCGCGGCGCGGCCCGGCUCCUCGUCGGCCACGGGCUGGAGCACGACCUCGACGCGCUCGGCAUGGACUACCCGGCGCACCUCAGGCGGGACACGGCCGCGUACCCGCCGCUGAUGAAGACGAGCGCCAGGCUCAUGAGCAACUCGCUCCGGUAUCUCACGCGGAGCUGCCUGGGCUAUGACAUACAGACCGGCGGACACCAUCACCCCUACGACGACUGCGUGGCCGCCAUGCGCCUCUACAAGAGGAUGCGCGCCAUGAGUCACCUGCACCUGCACGGCCGGCCCAAGGACGACGAUGAUGAGUCCGCGGUCAAGGCCUUCCCGGCGUGGAGGCAGCGAGAGCUGGAGCGCAUGUCGCCGGAGGAGCUCCUGGCGAUGUCCAAGCCCGACUACCGAUGUUGGUGCCUCGACGACGACCGCCGAUGCUGA
This 1071-nucleotide ribosomal RNA is filed under the name Triticum aestivum (bread wheat). Its description in RNAcentral is "partial small subunit ribosomal RNA". Lineage: Eukaryota; Viridiplantae; Streptophyta; Magnoliopsida; Poales; Poaceae. The record is from RNAcentral.